GUGGGUGCCCGAGGCCCGUGGGGAAGCGGCCGAGCCGGGCCCCAGCUCGCGGGUCGCUUCGAACCCUGGCCCAGCCUGUCUCUCUUGGUCUGUGGCUUUCGUGCCCCUUGCCUCGGUUUGCUCAUCCGUAAAAUGGAGGCGACCUUGCAGGAUGCGGUGACCCUCCCUGGUGCACAGGGCAGCGGGGAUUGUCACCCACGUACACUCCCGGGCAGCGGUCUGCGUAUGCCCCGACUCGGUUCGAUCUCCCGUGUCUUUGGGCAAACUCCAUAAUCUCACGGAGCCUCAGUUUCCCCAUCUGGUUAAAGGAGGCGGCAGGAAUUCCCUACCUCUUGGGUGGUUUGAGGAUCAGUGAAUCAAUAGUGAGACGACGGCUGGCACAUCUCAGUACCAGGGGGCUCUGCCAACCAAGGGGGGGGGGAGUUUUCUCAGUGGUCUGAGCUCUCUCGCUGUAGGGCAGGGAGGUGGGCGCGGGGCAGGUGCCCGUGGAAAUGGGUGCGGGUCACAGGCCCCGGGGAGGAUGGCAUGAGGCGGCUGCAGAGGCCCCCAUCCCGAAGCCCAAGCUGGCAGCACCUGCUGCAGGCGGGCCAGAGGGGGGCCUGGGCGUGAGUCACCGCCCAGCAAUGAGGCGUGAGUCACCCAGGGCGGGGUCCCCCGGCAGCCCCCCCAGCCGCUCCCACAAAGGCCCUUUGAGAAGAGUUCCCCACCCCCUCCUACAGUCCUUAGGCCCUCCGGAGGGUGGGACGUGGGGCCAAGACCCUGAUGGGCUCCCCCCGGGAACCGGGAACCGUGCCUGGGCCUGGAGGCCACAGCCUGUUUCCGCCAUGUCUGUGAGAAGUCACCGUGGGCAGCCUGGUGUCCCCCCGGGAAGGGGCUUCCAGGCCGCCUGAGUCACUCCGGGGACUGCAGUGGGUCACAUGCACACACUGGACAAACUGAGUCAGGCUGUCUGAUUUAUUUGAGAGAGAGAGCAAGAGCAUGAGCAGUGGGGGGGGAGGCAGAGGGAGAAGAAGCAGAUUCCGCCCCCCACCUCAGUAGGUAGCUUGGUGGAUGGAUGCCGGGCUUGAUCCCAGGACCCUGAGAUCAUGAUCUGAGCUGAAGGAAGAUGCUUAACCAACUGAGCUGCCCAGAUCCAAACUCCUCACUGGCCAUCAAGGCCCUGCAUGGCCCCGCCUCCUCCAGAAGCCUUUCCUGAUUGCAUCCUGGCCUGCAGGCUGGCCCCCAUGCCUCUUCUGUACUCACUGGUGCCUCCAGAUCUCAGCACUGAAGACUCCUCGUUAGGUCAGCUAGCUAUGUGACUGUCCUCCCACCAGACAGGGGCAGGGAGGUGCCAUGUCUGUAUUGUUCCCCAGCACGCCAGGAGCGUGGUGAUUAUCAAUACAUCGAUGCCACAGAUAUCGUCUGAGGCUCUACUCGGGUGCCACAACGAUCGAGACAAAGCUUCCUGCCCUGAAGGAACGGACACGAACCCUCUCUGAGUCUGACCCAGUUCAGGAAUGCAGAGGCUGCGGGCCCAACAAACGUGUUGCAGCAAGAAGGCGAAGAGUUAGCCAUUAAGAGGGACCACGUGCGCCUCGACUCAGGGGGCUUUUCCGGGCUGGUUUGGAAAGAAGAGGGGCAACGCGGCGGCGGCCCGAAACGAGGUCUUGGUGGGACAGAUGAAUCCUUUGGCUGAAGACCCCACCUGAAAGGCCAGGCAGCUGGAGAGGAAGCCAGGAAGAUCACAAGGGGAGGGCAGGUCAAGGUCAGAGCCCUCAAGGAAGCAAGACAGAGAGGAGGUGCAGGAGGAAAAGUGUAUCUGGAGGAGUCCCCCACCAAUGUGGCCAGUACCUCAUGCCUGAUGACCCCUCAUUCUAGCGCCACAGUCAUCACAAGCAAAGCUUUUGAGGAACCUGGUGUCCCUGGGGGCAAUAACCGCCUGGCAGCCAGACGUCUUGGGGCCACGAGGAAUCCCUCCUCUGCCUCUCUCUAGCGUGCCCUUUGGCCUGGACUCCCAAACUGACAAAUAGGAGUAAUCUGCACCUUCUAGGGCCCUUUUGAAGAGGACUUGAGCAAAUGUGUCAAGAAGCAAGCCCAGCGCCCAGUACUGGUCUACAUCUGUGUAGCAAAAGCUACAUAAAUAUCUGCAGUUAUUAUUAUUAUUUA
Long non-coding RNA from Canis lupus familiaris (dog), 2145 nucleotides. RefSeq lists it as uncharacterized. NCBI's taxonomy places the organism in Eukaryota, Metazoa, Chordata, Mammalia, Carnivora, Canidae. The transcript is spliced from 8 exons. The record is from RefSeq and is a predicted model, not a curated record.